AAUAGCCUAACGGCUGAACCAGCAACUUGGAGGAAUGAAUAGCAAUAGCUAAUUGCAUAAAUACAUGAUGCAAUAUCGACUCAGUCGAAUAAAAUUCUGGCUAGAAUUAUGAUAAUGACAUUGUCUAGCCAUGUGUCUUGACCAAAUUACGUGCCAGCAGUCGCGGUAAUACGUAGAAGACUAGUGUUAUUCAUCUUUAAUAGGUUUAAAGGGUACCCAGACGGUAAAUCAAGCCCUAGACGGGACUAAUUUUCUAGAGUUACUUACGCGGGGAUUUUAAAGUACUAAUGGUGUAGAGAUAAAAUUUUGUAAUACCAUUUUUCGAAAGAAAAGUUAUGGCACUGGUAAAGGCGAAAGCAUCCUCUUAUGUGAUAACUGACGUUGAAGGACGAAGGCUUUGGAUCGUGAAUAGGAUUAGAUACCCUAGUAGUCGAAGCAGAAAAUUAUGAGUGUCAUAGAUUAGAGAUUAACUUUAUUCUAUAAAUGAAAGUGUAAGCACUCCACCUCAAGAGUAAUUUGGCAACAUUGGAACUGAAAUCAUUAGACCGUUUCUGAAACCAGUAGUGAAGUAUGUUGUUUAAUUUGAUAAUCCGCAAAAAACCUUACCACAGCUUGAAUAUUUAUGUUUUUAUAUAUUUACAAGCGUUGCACGGCUGUCUUCAGUUAAUGUCGUGAGACUUUGGUUAGAUCCAUUAAAUUAACGUAAGCCCUUACUUUAUUUAUAAAUAAAGUUGUUCCCCGCUAUAUUGGAUAUGAUAACAGGGACUAAGACAAGUCAUCAUGGCCUUAAUGCUGU
RNAcentral lists this ribosomal RNA (796 nucleotides) under Phyllopsora sabahana. Its description in RNAcentral is "SSU rRNA". It matches the Rfam family "Bacterial small subunit ribosomal RNA", at positions 370 to 1210 of the family's 1533-position model. The record is from RNAcentral. Lineage: Eukaryota; Fungi; Ascomycota; Lecanoromycetes; Lecanorales; Ramalinaceae.